ACUCCUACGGGAGGCAGCAGUGGGGAAUAUUGCACAAUGGGGAAACCCGUAGCAUGCAGCCAUGCCGCGUGUGUGAAGAAGGCCUUCGGGUUGUAAAGCACUUUCAGUAGGGAGGAAGUAGUGUAGUUAACACCUGCACUAUUUGACGUUACCUACAGAAGAAGCACCGGCUAACUCCGUGCCAGCAGCCGCGGUAAUACGGAGGGUGCGAGC
RNAcentral lists this ribosomal RNA (213 nucleotides) under uncultured bacterium. Its description in RNAcentral is "partial 16S ribosomal RNA". It matches the Rfam family "Bacterial small subunit ribosomal RNA", at positions 335 to 539 of the family's 1533-position model. The record is from RNAcentral.